RNAcentral lists this ribosomal RNA (253 nucleotides) under uncultured bacterium. RNAcentral describes it as "partial 16S ribosomal RNA". It matches the Rfam family "Bacterial small subunit ribosomal RNA", at positions 524 to 776 of the family's 1533-position model. The record is from RNAcentral.
UACGGAGGGUGCAAGCGUUAUCCGGAUUCACUGGGUUUAAAGGGUGCGUAGGUGGGCAAGUAAGUCAGUGGUGAAAUCUCCGGGCUUAACCCGGAAACUGCCAUUGAUACUAUUUGUCUUGAAUACUGUGGAGGUCAGCGGAAUAUGUCAUGUAGCGGUGAAAUGCUUAGAUAUGACAUAGAACACCAAUUGCGAAGGCAGCUGGCUACACAAAUAUUGACACUGAGGCACGAAAGCGUGGGGAGCAAACCGG